GCCGGUUCCUCUUUCUGCCUGCUGGGGUCGGGCCUGGCUCCGGCAACGACAUCCCGCUGUGGUUAAAGCUGCACGGGUGGGAAUAGCACGGUUUAUCUGGGUAUCUCCGAAGAGGGCGUGGCUGGCCCUGCUCCUAGGACACCCGUGACCCUGGAUCCCAGGAGGUUGGAGCUGAAAAGUGUCUCAGAGAACAUUCUGUCCACUUUGUCAAGGAGAAAAUGGGCAUCAGAGAGGCCGACUUGCCCCACACGCUGCUGGCGUGGGCAGGAGGUGCUGGUGUUCUUCACAUCCGCACCACUGUGAAAGUGAGCAGUGGCAUGCAUGAAGCUGUCCCCAAAAUAAACAGGCCACUUCCACAGCUCUGGGGCUCCUGAUGCCAAGGUCUGUGGUUCCGGCUGGACUGGGAGAGUGUGUAUCCCUGUCAGAUGGGAGCAGGGGCCCCGACCAGCCUGGAACACCCCCAAAAGCCAGGUCGUAGCCGGCAAGAAGGUGAGAGGCCUGGGAGCCGGGGGCUGCCCCUGCUCCUGUGGGGACUCCUCCCUGCCCCCAAGCCUGCCGUGCCAGGACAGGCAGCUCGGGGGACCUCCCUCUCCAGGGCAAUCUCAUGCCCCCUUAUCAAGAGCUCUUCAGGAGGGUCUCAGACCACGAGACCCCGAGCACAAGUGCCUGCGCUUCCAUCACUGAGUCCCCAGACGCUGACACGUUUCAGGCACACAGCAGGUGCUCGGGAAAUGCUGAGUCAGAUUGAUGAUGCUGAUGAUGACAGCAGUGACAGAUGGUGGUUGAAGGUGUAUGAGUGCCCAGCACUGGGUGAAGUGCUGAAAGCACAUUAUUUCAUUUAAUCUUCAAUGCACUCAACUGGCAUUCUUGAUGCAAGGAAAGAAACUCAGAGUGGGGAAGUUACUUGCCCAAGCACACAGCCAGGAUGUAGCAGACCUGGGAUUUGAACCCAGGCCUAUCUGACCCUGGAACCACCUGCUGCUGCCCAACAGCUGAAUGUUGGUAGCACCUCCAUGCACAGAUGCAGCUGCAAGCCCCAGGGCGUGAGGCCGGCCGACCCAGGACCCAUCAUCCCAUCGCCAGCCGCAGGAGCCUCAGGCCUUCGUGUCGUGCCACCACUGCUCCACUAUCUGCCACCUUCCCGCCCUGUCCAACUCCAAACCUGGGCCUGGUCUCUCGCAUGUUAGGAAGCCAUGGGUUACGGUUUCAUGUAUGAGUAUUUUCUCUCUUGGUAACUGUAUCUCAAUACAAUCGGUUUCCUUCAUAA
This is a long non-coding RNA of Cebus imitator (Panamanian white-faced capuchin), 1267 nucleotides long. RefSeq lists it as uncharacterized. The record is from RefSeq and is a predicted model, not a curated record. NCBI's taxonomy places the organism in Eukaryota, Metazoa, Chordata, Mammalia, Primates, Cebidae. The transcript is spliced from 3 exons.